GGAGUUAUGAAAUGCAGAUUGGCUAAUACCCAACCUGUUUGACAAAGGCCCCAAAGGAAGCCACGGCUAACUCUGUGCCAGCAGCCGCGGUAAUACAGAGGUGGCAAGCGUUGUUCGGUAUUAUUGGGCGUAAAGAGCACGUAGGUGGUUUUGUAAGUCAGAUGUGAAAGCCUUCUGUUCAAAGGAAGAACGGCAUCUGAAACUGCAGAUCUUGAGUGUAGGAGGGGAGAGUGGAACUUCUGGU
This 244-nucleotide ribosomal RNA is filed under the name uncultured anaerobic ammonium-oxidizing bacterium. RNAcentral's name for it is "partial 16S ribosomal RNA". It matches the Rfam family "Bacterial small subunit ribosomal RNA", at positions 439 to 674 of the family's 1533-position model. The record is from RNAcentral.